GAAGAAUUCUGGUGCUAUCAGUAGUGAAGGAGCAAUAUGUGUCCUUCCAAAUACUCUCGAGAGCCGUCGUCUUGAUGUCCAGGGUAACAUUUAUGCAUUUGGAGUACUACUACUGGAAAUAAUCAGUGGGAGACCUCCAUAUUGCAAAGACAAAGGGUGCUUAGUAGAUUGGGCUAAGGAAUUUCUUGAAAUGCCGGAGGUAUUAUCCUACGUUGUGGAUCCCGAGUUGAAACAUUUCA
This 239-nucleotide unclassified non-coding RNA is filed under the name Hevea brasiliensis (rubber tree). The record is from RNAcentral. Lineage: Eukaryota; Viridiplantae; Streptophyta; Magnoliopsida; Malpighiales; Euphorbiaceae.